RNAcentral lists this transfer RNA (73 nucleotides) under Elusimicrobiota bacterium. Its description in RNAcentral is "Elusimicrobia bacterium (hot springs metagenome) tRNA-Val". It matches the Rfam family "tRNA". From Rfam's summary of the family: Transfer RNA (tRNA) molecules are approximately 80 nucleotides in length. Their secondary structure includes four short double-helical elements and three loops (D, anti-codon, and T loops). Further hydrogen bonds mediate the characteristic L-shaped molecular structure. tRNAs have two regions of fundamental functional importance: the anti-codon, which is responsible for specific mRNA codon recognition, and the 3' end, to which the tRNAs corresponding amino acid is attached (by aminoacyl-tRNA synthetases). tRNAs cope with the degeneracy of the genetic code in two manners: having more than one tRNA (with a specific anti-codon) for a particular amino acid; and 'wobble' base-pairing, i.e. permitting non-standard base-pairing at the 3rd anti-codon position. Lineage: Bacteria; Pseudomonadati; Elusimicrobiota. The record is from RNAcentral.
GGGCGGUUAGCUCAGAUGGAAGAGCGCCCCGUUCACAUCGGGGAGGUCGUAGGUUCAAAUCCUGCACCGCCCA